GACGAACGCUGGCGGCGCGCCUAACACAUGCAAGUCGAACGAGCGAAAGAGAGCUUGCUUUCUUGAGCGAGUGGCGAACGGGUGAGUAACGCGUGAGGAACCUGCCUCAAAGAGGGGGACAACAGUUGGAAACGACUGCUAAUACCGCAUAAGCCCACGACCCGGCAUCGGGUUGAGGGAAAAGGAGCAAUCCGCUUUGAGAUGGCCUCGCGUCCGAUUAGCUAGUUGGUGAGGUAACGGCCCACCAAGGCAACGAUCGGUAGCCGGACUGAGAGGUUGAACGGCCACAUUAGGACUGAGACACGGCCCAGACUCCUACGGGAGGCAGCAGUGGGGAAUAUUGCACAAUGGGGGAAACCCUGAUGCAGCGACGCCGCGUGGAGGAAGAAGGUCUUCGGAUUGUAAACUCCUGUUGUUGAGGAAGAUAAUGACGGUACUCAACAAGGAAGUGACGGCUAACUACGUGCCAGCAGCCGCGGUAAAACGUAGGUCACAAGCGUUGUCCGGAAUUACUGGGUGUAAAGGGAGCGCAGGCGGGAAGACAAGUUGGAAGUGAAAUCUAUGGGCUCAACCCAUAAACUGCUUUCAAAACUGUUUUUCUUGAGUAGUGCAGAGGUAGGCGGAAUUCCCGGUGUAGCGGUGGAAUGCGUAGAUAUCGGGAGGAACACCAGUGGCGAAGGCGGCCUACUGGGCACCAACUGACGCUGAGGCUCGAAAGUGUGGGUAGCAAACAGG
Molecule: ribosomal RNA, 735 nt
Filed under: uncultured bacterium
Lineage: Bacteria
Description: bacterial SSU rRNA
Rfam family: Bacterial small subunit ribosomal RNA
Source: RNAcentral